This is a long non-coding RNA of Malaclemys terrapin pileata, 316 nucleotides long. RefSeq lists it as uncharacterized. The record is from RefSeq and is a predicted model, not a curated record. NCBI's taxonomy places the organism in Eukaryota, Metazoa, Chordata, Testudines, Emydidae. The transcript is spliced from 2 exons.
CUCAAGAUACAAAGGGGGAGGCUUGAAAAAGAAAAAUAAAUCUUUUAAAGAAGGAAAAAUUCAACUGAGGGAAAACGUGGACACUGAAAAGGAAUGAAGAAAAGACAGAAGCAAGGAACAAGGAUGGUUUCUUGUGACUCCGACUUACAGAAUGCAGAAGGAAUGUGGAAGAAAAAAAUGGAGUGUCCAUCAGAGAUUCUUCCUCAUCUGCCCAUAUCAUCAGUUUCUUAAUAUCCUAUUCCUUUUCUGUUAAGUUUCUGCACACACACCAGCUUAAGGGAGUGAACAGGAGCAAUAGAUUCUUAAGGAAUUGGUA